Molecule: ribosomal RNA, 256 nt
Filed under: uncultured bacterium
Lineage: Bacteria
Description: partial 16S ribosomal RNA
Rfam family: Bacterial small subunit ribosomal RNA
Source: RNAcentral
UACGUAGGGGGGCAAGCGUUUGUCCGGAUUUAUUGGGCGUAAAGAGCUCGUAGGCGGCUUGUUACGUCGGCUGUGAAAACCCGCGGCUCAACCGCGGGCCUGCGAGCCGAUACGGGCAGGCUAGAGUUCGGUAGGGGAGACUGGAAUUCCUGGUGGUAGCGGUGAAAUGCGCAGAUAUCAGGAGGAACACCAAUAGCGAAGGCAGCUCGCUGGGACGGUACUGACGCUAAGGCGCGAAAGCGUGGGGACGAACGAG